GGCAGGUGGCUCAGUGGUAGAGCUUAGGUUUUGCAUGCCGAAGGCCUUGAGUUCAAUCCCCAGUAUUGCCU
RNAcentral lists this transfer RNA (71 nucleotides) under Erinaceus europaeus (western European hedgehog). It matches the Rfam family "tRNA". From Rfam's summary of the family: Transfer RNA (tRNA) molecules are approximately 80 nucleotides in length. Lineage: Eukaryota; Metazoa; Chordata; Mammalia; Eulipotyphla; Erinaceidae. The record is from Rfam by way of RNAcentral.